CAUUUAGUAAUUUAGACUUUGAAGCCAUUGGAAGAAUCUUAAUUAAACCUUUUUUAGGCAUGAAAAAAUAGCUAUUACAGUGCUUGCAAAACCUAUCUUUCGCUUGGCUCAUGCGUUAUUAGGAUGAUGCUUAAAUUAUUAUUUUUUAAUGUAACUGUGUCUCCUUUAUUAAGAAAUGUUGACUAGACAAGUGAUCUGUCCAAAUUUAAAACUAGAAAUAGAACCUUUAUCUCCCACCCUGUCUGAAUUAUUCUUUCCAUAUGUAGCUGCUUAGUUGUGUCUUUACCACUAAUUAACCAUGUGAACUCUAAGCAAGUUAUUUUACUUUUCUUCAUCUUUUUAUCUUUUGUAAAAUUAGGGGGUUAUUAUGAAUCAUUUCUAACAUCUCUGCUAAUGCCCCAGAUACUGUAAAUGACCCAGAAUGUAAUUGCGGGCAGUGUUAACUUAGCUUCCUAGAAGAUGGGGGAUAUGACUGGGCCUUGAAUAAAAUCCAAGAUUUGGCAGAGUAGAGAGGGAAAGAAUUCAUGAGAUGGGGAGCAGUAGAACAAAGGCUUAGGUGUGAAUAUGUGGCUGUAGUAAAGAGAAAUGGCCUGAUUAUAGCAAUUAUAUGAGGUUUAGUAGAACCAUUUAAGAAAGGUAAAGCCACUUCAUAGAAAUUAUUUUAUCCCUGAGUUGUUUGCUUGUUGCUUGGUUCUGAGGGAACUCUUUGAGUUUGGGGGACAAGAUUUUGGAAGCAAUGACUCUGGGAGCAAAUAAGUUUAACCUUGGCUACGGUAACCCAAAUUGUAUGCACUCAUCCCUUUUGUGCUUGUUUCACCUUCUAUAUGCCAAGGGACUUAGGGUGGUGACAAAAGGAACUAUGUUGUUGGUUGUCUUGGGUGGUGCUUUCUGCUUCAUCAUCCUUCUGCUUUGCUUCUAUUACAUAAUCAGAACACAUGAAGUAACUAAAUUCCGUGGACCCUUUCUCAUGGCAAGAUUCUCAUGGUUUGGGUGAGUGAUUAGCCCUCAGCCAGUGGACUCUUGACCUAUUCUGGACAAUGGAGGUCAAAGUUUGUUUGCUUGUUUGUUUUAUUUUAUUUCAAAAGCACCAGGUUGGUGAAAAAUGGACAAAGUAUACAUUCACAGUUUACACUGGAUUGAACUGAAUUGUGUUAUAUGGGGAACGUGAACAUAAUAAUGUAGAUUUUUCUUGUCCAUGAAAGAGGAAAAAUAGCUUUGUGGCAGAAAUGGAACCAGUUUUUCAUUAGUUGGGGAAGGUUAUUCAAGAAGCA
RNAcentral lists this long non-coding RNA (1271 nucleotides) under Homo sapiens (human). Its description in RNAcentral is "HSALNT0329888". The record is from RNAcentral. Lineage: Eukaryota; Metazoa; Chordata; Mammalia; Primates; Hominidae.